AGAAACUAACAAGGAUUCCCCUAGUAACUGCGAGUGAAGCGGGAAAAGCUCAAAUUUAAAAUCUGGCGGUCUCUGGCUGUCCGAGUUGUAAUCUAGAGAAGUGUUGCCCGCGCUGGACCGUGUACAAGUCUCCUGGAAUGGAGCGUCAUAGAGGGUGAGAAUCCCGUCUUUGACACGGACUACCAGGGCUUUGUGGUACGCUCUCAAAGAGUCGAGUUGUUUGGGAAUGCAGCUCAAAAUGGGUGGUAAAUUCCAUCUAAAGCUAAAUAUUGGCGAGAGACCGAUAGCGAACAAGUACCGUGAGGGAAAGAUGAAAAGAACUUUGGAAAGAGAGUUAAACAGUACGUGAAAUUGCUGAAAGGGAAACGCUUGAAGUCAGUCGCGUUGGCCGGGGAUCAGCCUCGCUCUUUUGCGUGGUGUACUUUCCGGUCGACGGGUCAGCAUCAAUUUUGAUCGCUGGAAAAAGGCCUGAGGAAUGUGGCAGCUCCGGCUGUGUUAUAGCUUCUGGUCACAUACAGCGGUUGGGAUUGAGGAACUCAGCACGCCGCAAGGCCGGGUUUCGACCACGUUCGUGCUUAGGAUGCUGGCAUAAUGGCUUUAAGCGACCCGUCUUGAAACACGGACCAAGGAGUCUAACAUGCCUGCGAGUGUUUGGGUGGAAAACCCGAGCGCGUAAUGAAAGUGAAAGUUGAGAUCCCUGUCGCGGGGAGCAUCGACGCCCGGACCAGAACUUUUGGGACGGAUCCGCGGUAGAGCAUGUAUGUUGGGACCCGAAAGAUGGUGAACUAUGCCUGAAUAGGGUGAAGCCAGAGGAAACUCUGGUGGAGGCUCGUAGCGAUUCUGACGUGCAAAUCGAUCGUCAAAUUUGGGUAUAGGGGCGAAAGACUAA
RNAcentral lists this ribosomal RNA (889 nucleotides) under Leucocoprinus leucothites. Its description in RNAcentral is "Leucoagaricus leucothites partial large subunit ribosomal RNA". It matches the Rfam family "Eukaryotic large subunit ribosomal RNA", at positions 60 to 934 of the family's 3401-position model. Lineage: Eukaryota; Fungi; Basidiomycota; Agaricomycetes; Agaricales; Agaricaceae. The record is from RNAcentral.